ACUGGCUCAGGGAGGUCGGCAACGACCACCCAGAGCCGGAAAGUCUGUCAAACUACGUCAUUUAGAGGAAGUAAAAGUCGUAACAAGGUUUCCGUAGGUGAACCUGCGGAAGGAU
This 115-nucleotide ribosomal RNA is filed under the name Macrophomina phaseolina. Its description in RNAcentral is "partial 18S ribosomal RNA". It matches the Rfam family "Eukaryotic small subunit ribosomal RNA", at positions 1714 to 1826 of the family's 1831-position model. Lineage: Eukaryota; Fungi; Ascomycota; Dothideomycetes; Botryosphaeriales; Botryosphaeriaceae. The record is from RNAcentral.